UACGUAGGGUGCGAGCGUUAAUCGGAAUUACUGGGCGUAAAGCGUGCGCAGGCGGUUCGUUGUGUCGGUGGUGAAAUCCCCGGGCUUAACCUGGGAAUGGCCAUGGAAACUGGCGAACUUGAGUGCGUGAGGGGUAGGGGGAACGAGCAGUGUAGCGGUGAAAUGCGUAGAUAUUGCUCGGAAGGCCAGAGCCGAAGGGGCCCUACUGGUGCGCAACUGACACUGAGGCACGAAAGCGUGGGGAGCAAACAGG
RNAcentral lists this ribosomal RNA (253 nucleotides) under uncultured bacterium. RNAcentral's name for it is "partial 16S ribosomal RNA". It matches the Rfam family "Bacterial small subunit ribosomal RNA", at positions 524 to 776 of the family's 1533-position model. The record is from RNAcentral.